RNAcentral lists this ribosomal RNA (241 nucleotides) under uncultured bacterium. Its description in RNAcentral is "partial 16S ribosomal RNA". It matches the Rfam family "Bacterial small subunit ribosomal RNA", at positions 67 to 334 of the family's 1533-position model. The record is from RNAcentral.
CGAAGCCUUCGGGCUUAGUGGCGGACGGGUGAGUAACGCGUGGGAACGUACCCUUGGGUGCGGAACAACAGUUGGAAACGACUGCUAAUACCGCAUGAUGUCCGCAAGGACCAAAGAUUUAUCGCCCAGGGAUCGGCCCGCGUUGGAUUAGGUAGUUGGUGGGGUAAUGGCCUACCAAGCCUACGAUCCAUAGCUGGUUUGAGAGGAUGAUCAGCCACACUGGGACUGAGACACGGCCCAG